UACGUAGGGUGCGAGCGUUGUCCGGAAUUACUGGGCGUAAAGAGCGCGCAGGCGGUCGUUCAAGUCGCGUGUGAAAGCCCCCGGCUCAACUGGGGAGGGUCACGCGAUACUGAUCGACUGGAAGGCAGGAGAGGGUAGUGGAAUUCCCGGUGUAGUGGUGAAAUGCGUAGAUAUCGGGAGGAACACCAGUGGCGAAGGCGACUACCUGGCCUGUUCUUGACGCUGAGGCGCGAAAGCUAGGGGAGCAAACGGG
Molecule: ribosomal RNA, 253 nt
Filed under: uncultured bacterium
Lineage: Bacteria
Description: partial 16S ribosomal RNA
Rfam family: Bacterial small subunit ribosomal RNA
Source: RNAcentral